This 269-nucleotide ribosomal RNA is filed under the name uncultured prokaryote. RNAcentral's name for it is "partial 16S ribosomal RNA". It matches the Rfam family "Bacterial small subunit ribosomal RNA", at positions 524 to 792 of the family's 1533-position model. The record is from RNAcentral.
GACGUAGGGGGCGAGCGUUGUCCGGAAUUACUGGGCGUAAAGAGCACGUAGGCGGGAACUUAAGUCAGGUGUGAAAGACCGUGGCUCAACCACGGGGUUGCAUUUGAAACUGAGUUUCUUGAGGGCAGGAGAGGAAAGCAGAAUUCCAGGUGUAGCGGCGAAAUGCGUAGAGAUGUGGAGGAACACCAGUGGCGAAGGCGACUCUCUAGUCUGUAUCUGACGCUGAGGUGCAAAAGCGUGGGUAGCAAACAGGAUUAGAUACCCCCGUA